GCUGGUGUGGCUCAGUGGUUGAGCAUCAGACUUUGAAACUGGAGGUUACGGUUCGAUUCCGAUUCCCGGUC
This 71-nucleotide transfer RNA is filed under the name Myotis brandtii (Brandt's bat). It matches the Rfam family "tRNA". Rfam says of the family: Transfer RNA (tRNA) molecules are approximately 80 nucleotides in length. Their secondary structure includes four short double-helical elements and three loops (D, anti-codon, and T loops). The record is from Rfam by way of RNAcentral. Lineage: Eukaryota; Metazoa; Chordata; Mammalia; Chiroptera; Vespertilionidae.